This 67-nucleotide transfer RNA is filed under the name Disteniazteca fimbriata. RNAcentral's name for it is "tRNA-Arg". Lineage: Eukaryota; Metazoa; Arthropoda; Insecta; Coleoptera; Cerambycidae. The record is from RNAcentral.
AAGUAAGAAGCAAAAAAUUUGCAUUUAGUUUCGACCUAAAAAUUUGAUGACAUUUCAUCCUUAGUUA